CAGAGGGCCCAGGAGACUGAAGUCUUGUCUUUCUACAGAAUGGGUCCAGCAUGGGAACUGGCAGUACAACCUUCUCCCCAUAGCCCUGCCAGUGUGCUUCAACUCUGAUCAGAGGCAGAUUAAGGUUUCCCCGUCCCUUUUGCCUGCGGCCACG
RNAcentral lists this small RNA (154 nucleotides) under Chelonoidis abingdonii (Abingdon island giant tortoise). Its description in RNAcentral is "TUC338 (ENSCABG00000000361.1)". The record is from RNAcentral. Lineage: Eukaryota; Metazoa; Chordata; Testudines; Testudinidae.